Molecule: transfer RNA, 69 nt
Filed under: Urocitellus parryii (Arctic ground squirrel)
Lineage: Eukaryota; Metazoa; Chordata; Mammalia; Rodentia; Sciuridae
Also listed under: 1 other name
Description: Spermophilus parryii (Arctic ground squirrel) tRNA
Rfam family: tRNA
About the family: Transfer RNA (tRNA) molecules are approximately 80 nucleotides in length. Their secondary structure includes four short double-helical elements and three loops (D, anti-codon, and T loops). Further hydrogen bonds mediate the characteristic L-shaped molecular structure. tRNAs have two regions of fundamental functional importance: the anti-codon, which is responsible for specific mRNA codon recognition, and the 3' end, to which the tRNAs corresponding amino acid is attached (by aminoacyl-tRNA synthetases). tRNAs cope with the degeneracy of the genetic code in two manners: having more than one tRNA (with a specific anti-codon) for a particular amino acid; and 'wobble' base-pairing, i.e. permitting non-standard base-pairing at the 3rd anti-codon position.
Source: Rfam by way of RNAcentral
GGUGCUGUAGCUCAGUGGCAGAGCACUUGCCUAGUAUGUAUGAGGCAAUGUGUUCAAUCCUCAGCACCA